This 624-nucleotide long non-coding RNA is filed under the name Brachypodium distachyon (stiff brome). Its description in RNAcentral is "long non-coding RNA (BDIS_LNC003309)". The record is from RNAcentral. Lineage: Eukaryota; Viridiplantae; Streptophyta; Magnoliopsida; Poales; Poaceae.
UCUAUCAGGCGUCUGCAAAGGCGGCGAACCAGGAGUGCACCUCCAAUGAACGCUUCGAGCGUAAGACUGAACGAAAAGCUAAGUGCUGACACCUAAAUGGAAAACCCACUAAGAACUGAACAUAAUCGAACGCUGCUUCGCCAAGUAUGGCCCCGGAACCCGUGCGUGGCCGGAGUGUUAGAAGGACGCUUGCGGGGGGAGUGCGCUCCCCGUGUGGCUCCCGGGUCCGUCCCGGGAGGGCAUGGCUUGGAAUAGUUACCCCGCAAGUGGAGUGGCUCGCCGCUACCGCUUGGCCCCAGGUCGGCACCGCAGGGUCCAUCCCGGGUCCCUAGUCCAGUCAAGGGUGAGGCGUGAGUCCCCGGCAACACAAGGCACAGCACGCAAAGGCUGAGGGAGCCACCCCACGAGGCCGCUCCAGGAACAAAGAAAAAGAAUUGAGCAAAUUAAAGAGCUUGAUUAACUAAGUACCGGACGAUUACAGGAACUAAUGCGAGUGUAAUUGUUUAAACGACGCCAAGCGCCACACUUGCAGGAAAAAAACAAACAAAAGAAGAUCCAUUGGAAGGUAGCAGGGGCUGGUAGGGGGCUGCGGCAACUAGUUGCCUGCAUCCUCCUCCGCGGGCU